UGAUUUAGUAGCUCUGUUCCAGGAACCAGGGGGCCAUAAAACCUUCUGGCGUCCCCUUAUCUCCUGGAGCCAUAAAACAAUCCUGUAACUUGUGGUGCAUUCCCCUUUGACAUCCCCCAUCCCCUGGUGCUCACAGCCUCUGCCUUUAAAUACUCUUUUUCCCAGCCUCUCGGGGCCGACACCUCUGUCUCCUGCGCGGGAUAUGUGUCGGCCCGGAGAUCUCUGUAAUAGGUCUCCGUAAUAAACCUCGCCUUUGCUUAUUACAUCCAAAAUGGUCUCUCUGUGUCUGGGGUCCGCGAUUUCCCAAGACUUGAGUAAGGGUCUCUCUGCGUGGGAUCUUUCAUAUUUAUGGGGGCUCGUCCGGGAUCUGCGCGACUACCCCAGACUCCGAAGACCCCUUGGAGGCUAAAAGACCUACAGGUGAUACAGAAAGAAAUCUGCUCACAGCUGACAGCAGCCUAUGCCCCGGAGACCCCUGAGACAUCCCAUCAGUUCCAGGUCGGAAGCAGCUACACUGAGCCCAGACACUCGAUCCUCGCUGGAAAGGACCAUACCUGGUGCUGCUGACCACCCUGACAGCCGUCAAUUCUCAGCCCUCACCAGCCGUGUACUAGCUGUUAGGGCUGAGAGCUGGGACCUAGAGAGAAAUUCAGUCAUGUUUGUCCUGGGUUCCAUCGAGAUAGGUGUGGGGAUAGGCUUGAUUUCUAUUACAAAUGAUGUAACAUUACAUAUGUUAGUACUCCUAACACUUCUUGGGACUGUGCCUCAGGGAUCACAACCUAUAUAAGUUUAGAAGUUCUGAAAGACAGUCAUGACCUUGGUGUAUAGGUUCAGAUAGUGUCCAGAUUGAAAUCCUGAUGCUAAAGACUUAGUAAGAGACAAAAAAAAAAGAGUUGAGAAUUACUUAGGGCUAGGGCUAUCUAGGUGCUACAAGGGCAGCACAAGGACAUCUGCUGUUGCCCUACAAUACA
RNAcentral lists this long non-coding RNA (971 nucleotides) under Rattus norvegicus (Norway rat). RNAcentral's name for it is "long non-coding RNA NONRATT000215". Lineage: Eukaryota; Metazoa; Chordata; Mammalia; Rodentia; Muridae. The record is from RNAcentral.